Molecule: vault RNA, 101 nt
Filed under: Podarcis muralis (Common wall lizard)
Lineage: Eukaryota; Metazoa; Chordata; Lepidosauria; Squamata; Lacertidae
Description: Vault RNA (ENSPMRG00000004679.1)
Rfam family: Vault RNA
About the family: This family of RNAs are found as part of the enigmatic vault ribonucleoprotein complex. The complex consists of a major vault protein (MVP), two minor vault proteins (VPARP and TEP1), and several small untranslated RNA molecules. It has been suggested that the vault complex is involved in drug resistance.
Source: Rfam by way of RNAcentral
GGGCCAGCUUAGCCCUAGCGGUUACUUCGGAUAAUCUUUGCAGAUUCACCAUUGCCUAACGGCGGUUUCGAUACUCCGCGGGUUUGCUGUCUGGCUUUUUA